This 253-nucleotide ribosomal RNA is filed under the name uncultured prokaryote. Its description in RNAcentral is "partial 16S ribosomal RNA". It matches the Rfam family "Bacterial small subunit ribosomal RNA", at positions 524 to 776 of the family's 1533-position model. The record is from RNAcentral.
UACGUAGGUGGCAAGCGUUACUCGGAAUCACUAGGCGUAAAGCGCAGGUAGGCGGUUGGAUAAGUCUAUUGUGAAAGCUCCCGGCUUAACUGGGAGAGGCCAAUGGAAACUAUCCGGCUAGAGUAUGGUAGGGGGUACUGGAAUUCCCGGUGUAGCGGUGAAAUGCGUAGAUAUCGAGAGGAACACCUGCGGCGAAGGCGGGUUGCUGGGCCGACACUGACGCUGAAGUGCGAAAGCUAGGGGAGCGAACGGG